GAAUUUAAAAUAUGAACAGAUUUAUCAAGGUCAUAAUUACGGCUAUAGAAUCUCGCCCAUCGUGCGGAGUAUGUUCGUUUGUUUUUAUUUUCUCGCCUAGCUUAUGCUAUCCAUAGGUUCCCUGAUCAAUCGCGUUUAAUUGUUAUAAAUUAAUUGAUUGCAAACAUGUUUCGUCUGUCCGUUUCCACGAUUGCUUGUCAGAAUCACCACGGA
This is a non-coding RNA of Cinara cedri, 213 nucleotides long. The record is from the annotation of a GenBank genome assembly. Lineage: Eukaryota; Metazoa; Arthropoda; Insecta; Hemiptera; Aphididae.